Molecule: ribosomal RNA, 1550 nt
Filed under: Klebsiella pneumoniae
Lineage: Bacteria; Pseudomonadati; Pseudomonadota; Gammaproteobacteria; Enterobacterales; Enterobacteriaceae
Description: bacterial SSU rRNA
Rfam family: Bacterial small subunit ribosomal RNA
Source: RNAcentral
AAAUUGAAGAGUUUGAUCAUGGCUCAGAUUGAACGCUGGCGGCAGGCCUAACACAUGCAAGUCGAGCGGUAGCACAGAGAGCUUGCUCUCGGGUGACGAGCGGCGGACGGGUGAGUAAUGUCUGGGAAACUGCCUGAUGGAGGGGGAUAACUACUGGAAACGGUAGCUAAUACCGCAUAAUGUCGCAAGACCAAAGUGGGGGACCUUCGGGCCUCAUGCCAUCAGAUGUGCCCAGAUGGGAUUAGCUAGUAGGUGGGGUAAUGGCUCACCUAGGCGACGAUCCCUAGCUGGUCUGAGAGGAUGACCAGCCACACUGGAACUGAGACACGGUCCAGACUCCUACGGGAGGCAGCAGUGGGGAAUAUUGCACAAUGGGCGCAAGCCUGAUGCAGCCAUGCCGCGUGUGUGAAGAAGGCCUUCGGGUUGUAAAGCACUUUCAGCGGGGAGGAAGGCGGUGAGGUUAAUAACCUCAGCGAUUGACGUUACCCGCAGAAGAAGCACCGGCUAACUCCGUGCCAGCAGCCGCGGUAAUACGGAGGGUGCAAGCGUUAAUCGGAAUUACUGGGCGUAAAGCGCACGCAGGCGGUCUGUCAAGUCGGAUGUGAAAUCCCCGGGCUCAACCUGGGAACUGCAUUCGAAACUGGCAGGCUAGAGUCUUGUAGAGGGGGGUAGAAUUCCAGGUGUAGCGGUGAAAUGCGUAGAGAUCUGGAGGAAUACCGGUGGCGAAGGCGGCCCCCUGGACAAAGACUGACGCUCAGGUGCGAAAGCGUGGGGAGCAAACAGGAUUAGAUACCCUGGUAGUCCACGCCGUAAACGAUGUCGAUUUGGAGGUUGUGCCCUUGAGGCGUGGCUUCCGGAGCUAACGCGUUAAAUCGACCGCCUGGGGAGUACGGCCGCAAGGUUAAAACUCAAAUGAAUUGACGGGGGCCCGCACAAGCGGUGGAGCAUGUGGUUUAAUUCGAUGCAACGCGAAGAACCUUACCUGGUCUUGACAUCCACAGAACUUUCCAGAGAUGGAUUGGUGCCUUCGGGAACUGUGAGACAGGUGCUGCAUGGCUGUCGUCAGCUCGUGUUGUGAAAUGUUGGGUUAAGUCCCGCAACGAGCGCAACCCUUAUCCUUUGUUGCCAGCGGUUAGGCCGGGAACUCAAAGGAGACUGCCAGUGAUAAACUGGAGGAAGGUGGGGAUGACGUCAAGUCAUCAUGGCCCUUACGACCAGGGCUACACACGUGCUACAAUGGCAUAUACAAAGAGAAGCGACCUCGCGAGAGCAAGCGGACCUCAUAAAGUAUGUCGUAGUCCGGAUUGGAGUCUGCAACUCGACUCCAUGAAGUCGGAAUCGCUAGUAAUCGUAGAUCAGAAUGCUACGGUGAAUACGUUCCCGGGCCUUGUACACACCGCCCGUCACACCAUGGGAGUGGGUUGCAAAAGAAGUAGGUAGCUUAACCUUCGGGAGGGCGCUUACCACUUUGUGAUUCAUGACUGGGGUGAAGUCGUAACAAGGUAACCGUAGGGGAACCUGCGGUUGGAUCACCUCCUUACCUUAAAGAA